UUAGUUAGUCACACAAUGUUUCACACAUUCAUUACGGUCUACCCAGCAAGGCUGAGAUUUCAAUAUAGUACAACAGUAACAUUUUUCCCAUCCCGUGGGAAAAUUACAAUGAAAUUUAAAGCAAAAAUCAACGACGAUCUUUUCGCUUGUAAUAUUUGAUUUCGAUUCCACCUUUCUAUCAAGAGUGUUUGAUGUGCCUGAAUCAUAACAAUAAAAUAAGAAAGUCAGUAUAAUGAAAUCAAUGUGUUUUUGUGUGCAUGUGAGAAAGAGAAAGAUAAACCGAGAAAGGAGCGUACAAUGACAAAGGGAGGCAAAAGAAGCCAUGAGAAUGAGGAAGAUAACUAGAAACCUACAACUAACGAAGGCCAUUUGAAAGGUAAUGAAAG
RNAcentral lists this long non-coding RNA (386 nucleotides) under Lactuca sativa (garden lettuce). RNAcentral's name for it is "long non-coding RNA (LSAT_LNC000707)". The record is from RNAcentral. Lineage: Eukaryota; Viridiplantae; Streptophyta; Magnoliopsida; Asterales; Asteraceae.